GAUGAACGCUGGCGGCGUGCCUAACACAUGCAAGUCGAACGGAGUCCAGCCUUUAAGACCUUCGGGUCAAAGAGGGGAAGACUGAGUGGCGGACGGGUGAGUAACACGUGGGCAACCUGGCUCAUAGAGGGGGAUAACAGAGAGAAAUUUCUGCUAAUACCGCAUAAGCACACACUGCCGCAUGGCAGAGGGUGAAAAGAGAAUCGCUAUGAGCGGGACCCGCGUCUGAUUAGCCAGUUGGCAGGGUAAGAGGCUACCAAAGCGACGAUCAGUAGCCGGUCAGAGAGGAUGAGCGGACACAUUGGGACUGAGACGCGGCCCAGACUCCUACGCGAUGCAGGAGUGGGUGAUAUUGCAAAAUGGGGGGAACCCUGAUGCAGCGACGCCGCGUGAGUGAAGAAGUAUUGCGGUAUGUAAAGCGCUAUCAGCAGUGAAGAUAAUGACAGUACCUGAAUAAGAAGCCCCGGCUAACUACGUG
This 478-nucleotide ribosomal RNA is filed under the name uncultured bacterium. RNAcentral describes it as "partial 16S ribosomal RNA". It matches the Rfam family "Bacterial small subunit ribosomal RNA", at positions 28 to 507 of the family's 1533-position model. The record is from RNAcentral.